CACAUGACUGUGAUGCACAAAUUCUUUAAGUGUAAGGAGUCUAUGCAUUUUACAGUAACUUAUUUUAUGAUUGGGAGAUGAGACAGUUAUACAUUCAACUGCCAUUAUUUUUAUUAAGUGCUUUCAUUUUCUUUACAGUUAUUACAAAAUUGUAUUUAUUUUAUACAGAUGGGUUUUCAUUUUCCUGAUGCUGUAAUGUUUACUUCAGCUUGUUGACCUUUCUUUGUGUUAUCUGCAUGUUGUAACGUGUGAUAAGAAUGAAUGUAAAGGCUGUGGCAACUGUAAUUAAUUUUUGUAAAGGGCUGGUCACACGUGGAUCUGGUUUAUGAAUGUAUUUGGGAUGAUUUUAGUAACCAGAUCACCUUUUCAGAAAUUUAGAUGUGAACACCAAAAGAUGCAUUUUCUCAACAAAAAUUAAUAGCUGGUUCUAUUUUUUUAAACCUAGAAAAAAUAAAGUU
This 458-nucleotide long non-coding RNA is filed under the name Homo sapiens (human). RNAcentral describes it as "HSALNT0200760". Lineage: Eukaryota; Metazoa; Chordata; Mammalia; Primates; Hominidae. The record is from RNAcentral.